AUGUGGAAGAAUUCGUUCAAAAUUCUUCCGCAGUUCACGCAACCCGGUUUUAUAGAUGUGCGGAUAGAAAACAAUGAUGGAAUCUUUUGGAGAUUUACGUGCUUUUAUGGAGAACCAAAAUGGGAGAGGAGGCACCUAUCAUGGAGAACUCUUAGAGAUCUACACCAUCAAUCUUCUGUCCCUUGGCUUGUUGCUGUUGAUUUUAACGAGAUCUUGUACUCUCAUGAAAAGGAGGGUGGUAACCUGAGACCGGUUAAAAUGAUGGAGGACUUUAGGGAGGUACUCACUGAUUGUGGUUUAGAGGAUCUUGGUUAUUCUGGAGAUUUAUUCACUUGGCGCAGAGGUCGUAUCAAGGAGCGUCUUGAUCGUGCUGUAGGGAACGGAUUGUAGCAAUGUCUAUUUCCUGCAGCUACUGUAACAAAUGGAGAACAUAGUAAAUCAGACCAUCGUCCGCUUAUAAUUGAUCUUGAGCCCAAUGAUAUUCCUAUCCCUCGGUCAGGUGGUUGCAAGAAAUUCGAAGCUCGGUGGUUACAAGAAAAUUCAGUUCAGGAGCCCGUCGCCAACGCAUGGGAGAAUGCAACAGAGGAGCCAAAUUUCGCUACACGCACAGCUCUUGUGCAUGCCGCGCUUCAUAAGUGGGACAAAGAAAUUCUGAAGGCCCCAAAGAAGAGGUUGGAUGACCUGAAGGCACGGCUUGAGGCGACCCGUAGGGAGCAACCAACAGAUGAGAACUCAGCUCGGUUACGAGAAAUAUUGAUGGAAAUUGAAAAUAUACUAGAACAGGAGGAAGUAUAUUGGUUGCAACGCUGCCAUGCAAAUUGGCUUAAGAAUGGAGACCGUAAUACUAAUUUCUUUUAG
RNAcentral lists this ribosomal RNA (858 nucleotides) under Triticum aestivum (bread wheat). RNAcentral describes it as "partial small subunit ribosomal RNA". Lineage: Eukaryota; Viridiplantae; Streptophyta; Magnoliopsida; Poales; Poaceae. The record is from RNAcentral.